RNAcentral lists this long non-coding RNA (1055 nucleotides) under Homo sapiens (human). RNAcentral describes it as "non-protein coding UCA1:35". The stretch from base 473 to 547 matches the Rfam family "Urothelial cancer associated 1 conserved region". Lineage: Eukaryota; Metazoa; Chordata; Mammalia; Primates; Hominidae. The record is from RNAcentral.
GCUGACUCUCUUUUCAGACUCAGCCCACUUGCACCCAAGUGAAUUAACAGCCUUGUUGCUCACACAAAGCCUGUUUAGGUGGUCUUCUAUACGGACAUGCUUGACACUUGGUGCCAAAAUCUGGGCCAGGGGGACUCCUUCGUGAGACCGGCCCCCUGUCCUGGCCCUCAUUCCGUGAAGAGAUCCACCUGCGACCUCGGGUCCUCAGACCAGCCCAAGGAACAUCUCACCAAUUUCAAAUCGGAUUCCCAGCCAUAUGAAGACACCCUAGCUGGACGAUCAGUCCUUGUCAAAAGUCUGACCCCUCAAACUCUACAGCCUCAAUGGACCAGACCCUACCCGGUCAUUUAUAGCACACCAACUGCCGUCCAUCUGCAGGACCCUCUCCAUUGGGUUCACCAUUCCAGAAUAAAGCCAUGCCCAUCAGACAGCCAGCUUGAUCUCUCCUCUUCCUCCUGGAAGCCACAAGAUUAGGCCGAGAGCCGAUCAGACAAACAACCUACAACCCUUAAGCUCCUGGCAGCGCCCAGCCAAGGCCAUGCUUCCUUGCAACACUCCUUCCAAAUGGCCAUCCCAGCAUGCUUCCAAGCAGGCUUCAUCCGUUCCUCUGGACCCUCAUCUCUUAAGACCUGCCGCCUAUAAAAAGGAUUAUAUCUUGAGACCCUAUCCUCUAAAAUUUUUUCCACACCCAAAACAAAAAAUCUCUGGGUCAAAAGUCUAAAACGCUUAGGCUGGCAACCAUCAGAUCCUUGCCCAUGGUGUCCUCAAGCCUACUCUCAUGAAAUGGACAACAGUACACGCAUAUGGGGCCAGUUCCACAUAUUUGGCAACCAGACCAGCAUCCAGGACAACACAAAGAUCUGCAAUCAGAACUAUUGAACUUCUCCAUUCAGACCGCCACUCACACCUAUGGGAAAAGGGUAAUGUAUCAUCGGCUUAGCAACAGGGAAUACUAUUCGUAUGAUGGAAAAUGGGGACAAAAGGCUUUGGUACAUAAAACAUUAUUCCUUCCUUGGCCUAAAAACUCAUCGCCACCUACAUUAAAGCUAAUAUGC